Molecule: RNA transcript, 1809 nt
Organism: Scylla paramamosain (green mud crab)
Lineage: Eukaryota; Metazoa; Arthropoda; Malacostraca; Decapoda; Portunidae
Exons: 3
Source: RefSeq, a predicted model, not a curated record
AUCCCACAGGUGUCUUUAAUGAGAACACGACCUCUCUCCCCCAGGGGGCGGCCCCGUCACCGGGCGUCACGUGGACAGGGUGAUGCGGAGCGGUGCGGCGCGGUGCGUGCGGUAAAGCCAUAUAAUUGGUCCUCAUGGCGGCUGUUCGGCGCGUUGAUAGUGCUUGGUGUUUUAUUGCGGCGAGGGUGGCGGCGGGGCGGGAUGACUGGGAUUAGGAGCGAUAAAUUUGGCGGCGGCGUGAGGUAUGGGUUCAGUCAUAACUCAAGACUGUCCUCGCUGCCAGGGGGGCCAACCGUGCUCCGCGGCUGCCGUCCUCACCCGCGAUUAAAAUUUCCAGUGCACGCCAUUUGCAUCUCCUUGUUGGUGUUAAGAUUUAUACGAUGGGUAUCUGGUAGCGAUUAAUUUUCCCUUGUGGUCACACCUCCGGCGGGCGUGUCGCGGCCGAGUUAUGGCGAGCACGGCGAGAUUAAUUGCCGAUUGUGAAUUUAUGGCAGAGACUCCGCUUGUCUGGGCGUGGCAGUGGUGACGGUGCUGCUGGCAGUGUUGGUAGCCCUGCCAGGCUCUCACCCCUGCCAGAGAGACGCGGCAGGGGUGCGGUGGGCGGUACUAAUAAAAAACUCUGCUGAAAUGUCAAGAAUUAUCUCAUCGGCCUCAGUACUCUAAUGAAUCUCUCAGGCCACUCCGGGCGCUCCAGUUCCAAAGUCGGAUACAUGAAAUUGUUUUUUUAGUUGUUUAUUUUUUUCAGACAAUUAUCGUGUAUAAAUUUUGGCUCCGCGAUUGGGUUAGCGCCGCCAUCCCCGCGCCGCGUCCCUCCGGUGAUUGAUUCGCUUGCGUUAAUUACUUCCACGCGGAGAGAGAUAUUGGCGUGUGUGUAACUGUUGCCAAAUACACCAACCAGGGCUAACGAGCGGCUCUCUCUCCCGCCUAACGAUGGGUAAACAAGGCAAAAAUGGCCACGGCGGGGAGGGAGGUGCAAGAAAGGCUGCAGAGUGGUGGUGGUGUUGGAGGGCGUGGGUGCAGGCCGUCACUACCAAGGCGGGGAGCUUGCGCCUUCUUCAGACUCGCAUGUUGAAGAGGCGGCCGUCACAGGGGAGCAGCAGAGGGCGGUAGCACUGAGCGUCACGGCAGCGUCACCCCGGCACAGGACGAAGAAAAGAGCAGGAAAAGGAGGAAGAGGAGGAGGAGGAGAAGGAAGAAGACGAGGAGGGGUGUAUAAUUUACCCUUCUUGACACUUCACACACGUUCCAUCUUACAAAACGACCAGCUCGCCUCAUGAAAUACUGUAUGUCUUACGUAGCGUCGCUUUUUACUCCUUUCACGAAGUCGUCCUGACCACUCGCAACAAUUGUCAUGCGGGGAACGUCGGACCUAAAUUUGACCCAGUGCGCCCUGACCUGCUUCAGAGCCGAGCAGGAGCCACAGAACCUUUUGUGCCGCCACCCCACACGAUGGACUCAAGGAACUCCCACGGAAGCUCGCCCUAUGACCCUGCUGCUGCGUGGAUGUGAAUCAGAAGCCCUGUAAUGUGUGUUUAUAUGAUAGUUAUAAUUUUGUUUAAGGAUUUUUUUGUGAUUCAUUGUAUGCUUGUGUUUUGGGCUCGUGAUUGUGUUUCGUGGGAUUCGUUGUAUCAUUUCGUACGUGUUGUCUUUACCUACUUGACGGUUUCUGAUCAGACCUCCUUCAGCUGUCUCAUUCUGCACACUGAUAGUUCUUAAGCUGAUUAAAGCCUUGGCAAGAGGGCUCCACUCUGUCUCUCUCUGCCCAUUACAUGCCAGUAUUCAGAAACGGUUUUUCUCUUACCACCACUA